RNAcentral lists this long non-coding RNA (1073 nucleotides) under Lonchura striata (white-rumped munia). RNAcentral describes it as "domestica (Bengalese finch) lncRNA (ENSLSDG00000001817.1)". Lineage: Eukaryota; Metazoa; Chordata; Aves; Passeriformes; Estrildidae. The record is from RNAcentral.
UCUCCUCCACUCACAGCUGCUGAGUGUUUGCUCAUUGAGCCUGGCCCGAGGGGACUUUUCUGAGCUUCUGUUCAUUCCCUCCUGUCCAGUUCCCUCCCCUGGCCAGGCAUAAAUCAGGCCUGGCGACAGGAGCAGCAGCGAUUCCUGGCACCCCCAGCACCCUGGUUCACAAAACAAUACACAAUGGAUUAUUCAGAGCACACCCUGCGUCACACACCAGUAAUUAUAAACAUGAAAUCUAUCAAAUAAUGACAAUUAACAGCGGAUCUGACAGAGUAACACUCCAAAUAGCCUGGUGGUUGAUUACAUCUUAUUAAUGAAAUGCCAAAACAUUGAGGGCUCUUAGCAGGACAAUUAAUUGCUCCCAAUAAAUCUGACUUCUGCCAGACCUCGUCUUUAAAGGAGGUUUUGGGACAUCUGGUGAGAGUUAUUUUUUAAAGCAAUGGCUGAUGGUUCCUACAGAAAAUUCCCUGGGAGCUGGGAGAACUGGAGCCACCAACACACAGAAAUGAGGAGAAGGAAUUAGAGAUGAGGGCAACCCCAACACUGGAAUAAUUUUAUAUAAACUGGGGUGGGUUGUGGCGUAAGAUUCCAACCAAGAUCCGCUCCCAGCACUUCCCCUACAAACAUCCAGGGCCAGCAGCUUCCUUGGAAAGGUGUCCUCAGACACAAUGGCCCAGAUUCAAGGGGAUCCAAAGAGGAUGCCAGGCUGCUGGGAGAGGGUGAGCAGAGCCAAAGGAGACCUGUCCCAACCAGAGGUGUCCAGAGCCACCAGGCUGGCUGUCACUGACCCCGGGAUGGGCUGUGGUGACAAAAGGUGCAGGGACUGUUGUGCCACUCCUGCAGACACUGGCAAUGUCAGCUGCCCUGGACACACAGGACUUGCAGCACUGCUGCAAAGGUGGUCUGUGUCUGUCCAUCCAUCCAUCCAUCAUCCAUCCAUCAUCCAUCCAUCCAUCAUCCAUCCAUCAUCCAUCAUCCAUCCAUCCAUCAUCCAUCCAUCAUCCAUCCAUCAUCCAUCCAUCCAUCCAUCCAUCAUCCAUCCAUCAAUCCAUCAUCAAUCCAUCAUCCAU